RNAcentral lists this ribosomal RNA (478 nucleotides) under uncultured bacterium. RNAcentral's name for it is "bacterial SSU rRNA". It matches the Rfam family "Bacterial small subunit ribosomal RNA", at positions 1 to 507 of the family's 1533-position model. The record is from RNAcentral.
CUGCUAGACGAGUUUGAUCAUGGCUCAGGACAAACGCUGGCGGCGUGUAUUAGGCAUGCAAGUCGCACGGACCUUCGGGUCAGUGGCGGACGGGUGAGUAACACGUGGGUAACCUGCCCUGCAGUGGGGAAUAACCCGUCGAAAGACGGGCUAAUACCGCAUACUACUCUCGGUGAGAAUCCGGGAAGUAAAAGCAGUAAUGCGCUGCAGGAGGGGCCCGCGGCCGAUUAGCUAGUUGGUGAGGUAACGGCCCACCAAGGCGACGAUCGGUAGCUGGUCUGAGAGGAUGGUCAGCCACACGGGGACUGAGAUACGGCCCCGACUCCUACGGGAGGCAGCAGCUAAGAAUCUUGCGCAAUGGGCGAAAGCCUGACGCAGCAACGCCGCGUGGAGGACGAAGGCCCUCGGGUCGUAAACUCCUUUUGCGAGGGAAGAAGAUCUGACGGUACCUCGCGAAUAAGCCACGGCUAACUACGUG